Molecule: ribosomal RNA, 827 nt
Filed under: Mastophoroideae sp. BISH 699823
Lineage: Eukaryota; Rhodophyta; Florideophyceae; Corallinales; Mastophoraceae
Description: SSU rRNA
Rfam family: Eukaryotic small subunit ribosomal RNA
Source: RNAcentral
UCAGAGGUGAAAUUCUUGGAUUGAUGGAAGACAAACUGCUGCGAAAGCGUCUGCCAAGGAUGUUUUCAUUGAUCAAGAACGAAAGUAAGGGGAUCGAAGACGAUCAGAUACCGUCGUAGUCUUUACCAUAAACGAUGAGGACUGGGGAUCGGGCGAGGAAUUACGAUGACCCGCCCGGCACCCUCCGGGAAACCAAAGUGUUUGCUUUCUGGGGGGAGUAUGGUCGCAAGGCUGAAACUUAAAGGAAUUGACGGAAGGGCAUCACCGGGUGUGGAGCCUGCGGCUUAAUUUGACUCAACACGGGAAAACUUACCAGGUCAGGACAUAGUGAGGAUUGACAGAUUGAGAGCUCUUUCUUGAUUCUAUGGUUGGUGGUGCAUGGCCGUUCUUAGUUGGUGGAGUGAUUUGUCUGGUUAAUUCCGUUAACGAGCGAGACCUGGGCGUGCUAAAUAGGGGCUAUUACCUUUUUUGGUAGUAUGUUUUCCCCUUCUUAGACGGACUGUGGGCGCCUAGCCCACGGAAGCUCCAGGCAAUAACAGGUCUGAGAUGCCCUUAGAUGUUCUGGGCCGCACGCGUGCUACACUGAGUGGAUCAGCGGGUCAGGUUGCAAGAGAUUGUUUCCUAAUCUUGAAAUCCGCUCGUGCUGGGGAUUGACGGUUGCAAUUUUCCGUCAUGAACGAGGAAUACCUUGUAAGCGCGGGUCAUCAUCCCGCGCUGAAUACGUCCCUGCCCUUUGUACACACCGCCCGUCGCUCCUACCGAUUGAGUGGUCCGGUGAGGCUUUGGGAUUGCAGCGAAAAUAGCGCUUCGCUAGAUUUGUCGCAAGA